UUUUAAAUUGAGAGUUUGAUCCUGGCUCAGGACGAACGCUGGCGGCGUGCCUAACACAUGCAAGUCGAGCGAUGAAACUUCCUUCGGGAAGUGGAUUAGCGGCGGACGGGUGAGUAACACGUGGGUAACCUGCCUCAAAGAGGGG
Molecule: ribosomal RNA, 145 nt
Filed under: Clostridium haemolyticum
Lineage: Bacteria; Bacillati; Bacillota; Clostridia; Eubacteriales; Clostridiaceae
Description: partial 16S ribosomal RNA
Rfam family: Bacterial small subunit ribosomal RNA
Source: RNAcentral